RNAcentral lists this long non-coding RNA (8403 nucleotides) under Triticum aestivum (bread wheat). Its description in RNAcentral is "long non-coding RNA (TAES_LNC016404)". Lineage: Eukaryota; Viridiplantae; Streptophyta; Magnoliopsida; Poales; Poaceae. The record is from RNAcentral.
UGUCACAUCCCUAGUUCUGACAAUGCCUAGUGCAUGCAUUAGAGUGUUGCAUCAUGUUUAAAUUUCAUUUAAACCUGAAAUGGGAAUGAUAGAACUCCCAGCCCCCUCUGAAUCAACUAGGGUUUACUAAAAAUAUUUUCAAUGAACCUGAAAUGCCCUUCUAAAAUGUCCAUCAUUUUUGUCUUGGUUCAGAACCUCUGCCAAAAGUGAUGCACAAUUUCCUAGGUCAUCCUAAGGUCUUUGAAUUAAAUCAUAAUUAUUUGAAUUUGGGCGUUUAAAAUUAUAUAAAAUAUUUCAAAUGCUCAAAAAUCUCCAAACUGAAAUGUUUCAUGUUGGAAAUAUUCCAACAAUGGACCAGGAGUAGUUUGGUGAAUUUUAGAACCUUUUAGGUAGUUUUAAUAAUUCAACAAAGGUGCAGAAAAAUAGAAAAGAAAAAUAACAGAAACAGAAAAUAACAGGAAAGACUUACCUGGCGCCCGCUAACCAGCCCACCUGCCGGCCCAGCCCAGCGCCGCGCCAGCGAGCUGCUUGCCGGCCAGGCAGGCAGGCAGGUGCUCGACGGCGAGCACCGCAUGGGUGCCACGCACCUGCUCGCCGCCUCGCUGCUUCUCUCGCCCGGCUAACGCCGUGAAUCACUCCCCCUCUCUUCCCAGAAACCCCCGGACGCCUCCUCUCCUCUCCAGCUCCUUCCCCUCGCGCUCCCCAGCCAUGGCCGACGCCACCGCCGCCGUGCCCACGUCGUAGCCGUGCUCCCCGUCGCCCGUGCGUCUUCUCGUCGUGUCCAGGAGCUCCACCGCCGUCCACUUCGUCGAGCUACCCGAGCCCCGUGUGCUCGCGAGGCCCGAGUCCGCCGCACUGACCUCGCCGAGUUCGCCGUCGCCGGAGAUCCCCUUCAACGCUGCCGCCGCCUCAGCUCGUCCCCGACCCCGCCGGUGGCCUCUACGAGUGCCCAGUGAGCCUAGCUACCCCUCCUACCCUUCCUCCCUCGCCCCCGAGCCGUGUAGCCACCGCACGAAGAUCGACCGCACGCGCCGCCGCGGACCACAUCGCCGACGUGCCUCCGGCUAACCACCGGCCACCUCACCUUGUCCAACGCAUUCAGCACACCGCGCUGAGGCUAACCGUGCACUCCCCGCACCUCACCGCACACCCCAGCCCGAGUUCGCUCUCACCCGAACUCCGGUGGCCGCCAAAGUCGCCGCCGGCGCCAACUCCGACAACCCCGACCCCAACGGACUCCGCCAAGAGCCGCGGCUCGUCCUCAGCUCCACUCCGAUGCCCUCCGCGGCUCAUUUGGUUGCCGGAACGGCCAAAAUCACUUCCGCCGCCGCGUCGGGCUCGCCGGCGGCUAAACGCCGGUGCAGCCGUGUCGACUUUGACCACGGGUGGGCCCCGGUUGACUCCGUUGAGUCAAUGACAGGUGGGGCCCCCUUCUGCUAAUUACCCAGAUCAGUUUAAACUAAAUUAAAUUAGUUAAUUAGCCACUGACACGCGGGACCCACAGGUCAGUUUGACCUGGACCAGCCCGUUGACCUGAUGACGUCACUAUGAGGUCAUGCUGACGCAAUAAUUCCUUUCUGGAAUUUAAAUAAAUCUUAAAUGAUUUAAUAUAUUCAGAAAAUGCCCUAAACUUCUAAAAUUCAUAGAAAUUCAACCAUAGCUCCAAAUCAAACAAGUUAUAUAUGAAAAAUGAUCAGAAAAAUCCAAUCUAUCCAUCUGCACUGGUUUCAUGCAUGUUAGAGCAACUUAACCCUGCUGUUUAGAUGAAACAAGUUAAUGCACCUUUAUGACUUCAUAUAAUGGGUUUGCAUUUGAAUCUUUGGUUCAAAUGGAUUCAUUUCAAUCUCUUCUAGCUUGCAUUAGCCAAAACACAUGCAUAUUGCCAUGUCAUGAGCAUGCAUCAUAUUGUGCAUUGCAUUGAUUGUAUUUCUUCUCUGUUGCCGGUAUCUGUCCCCUCUCGGUAGACGAUGUUCGACGAUGAGUUCGAUGACACUGAUGAAGAACUAUAUUAUCUUCAGAAGUGCCAGGCAAGCAAAACCCCCUUGUUCAUUCCGAUACAAACCCACUCUCUCGCUCCUGCUCUCUUUUACUGCAUUAGGACAACAACGAUUCAUCUGUUACUUGCUGCGGUAGCUGAACCCCUUUAUCCUUUGCAUGACCUGUCAUUCCACAGUAAAUAGAUGAAACCCACUAGCAUGAGUAGGAGUUGUUUGAGCCCUGUUGUGCCUACUCAUACAUGCUUGUUUGUCAUGCCUGCUACUGCUUAGAGUUGAGUCGGGUCUGAUUCAUCGAGGAUGAACCAGAGGUGUGUGAACAUGUCCUACUGUGUGUGAGCUAAGUGUGUGAACACGAUUUGGUAAAGGUAGCGGUGAGAGGCCAUGUAGGAGUACAUGGUGGGUUGUCUCAUUGCAGCCGUCCUCAGGAACUGAGUUCUGUGUUUGUGAUCCAUGAUUCAGCUACUACCACGCAUUGGGCCCGAAACCAAUGGACCCCCUCGGCUUCUUAAUCACCCUUGUCCUCUGUCCAGGAGUUGCAAGUAGUUUCUGGUGUUUGUAGUAUGCUGGAGGCCGUGCGCAGCGCUGACCGUAGGGGUGGGCUGUGAUGCGGUAGGCACGUGGCCGGGUAAACCGGGCGCCCGAUUGGUGUCACGGAACCCUGUUCACAUCGUUUGGGGCUGUGAGCGAAACUUCGGCCGGAACUCCUCAUAGAUGGAACCCAAAUAGGCGAUAAACCUGGACUAGGGACUUGAGUGUUUAGGUAGGUCGUGGCCGACACCCACGUUGGGCUUCCGCUUGAAGGUUGCCGAGUACAUGUCGUGUAAACGGCGGUAAGUGGUGAGAGCGUGUGUGAAGAAGUACACCCCUGCAGGGUUAACAUUAUCUAUUCGAAUAGCCGUGUCCGCGGUAAAGGACUUCUGGGUUGCCUGUACAGUUCAUAGACAAGUGAAAGUGGAUACUCUAAAAUACGCAAGAUAAGUGUGAGUGCUAUGGAUGGCGUUCUCAUAGGGAGACGGAGCGGAUCCAUAGUGGUGUAUUGAUAUGGUGAAUAUGUGGACUCGUGUGCGCCACCUCAAAAGAGUUACUUGCAGUCGUAGUUUAGGAUAGCCACCGAGUCAAAGCUGGCUUGCUGCUGUUAAACUCCACCAUCCCCUUUAUUGAUAAUGAUGCAUAUGUAGUUAGUUCUGAUGUAAGUCUUGCUGGGUACAUUUGUACUCACGUUUGCCUAUUUUAUGUUUUUGUAGAGAGACUUCAGUCUCACUAGUAGUUCCACGUGGACUUCGACGUUUAGCUUGUUACCUCAGCUACGAUCUUGUGCCCUCGGCAGGAUUUGGUAGAUAGUCAGGCUUCUUAGCCUUUUUCAUUUAUAGUUGCCUGUACUCAGGCAUAUUAGCUUCCGCUUGUGCCUGAUUUGUAUGCUCUGAAUGUUGGGUCAUGAGACCCCUGUUUGUAAUAUCUCGCUCCUCGGAGCCUAAUGAAUAAAUACUUGAGUCGUAGAGUCAUGUUGUGAUGCCAUGUUGUAUUUGCACAUAUCGGGCAUAUUAUGUGUAUGAUUGAAAUGCUUGGUAUGUGUGGGAUCUGACUAUCUAGUUGUUUAUCUUUAGUAGCCUCUCUUACCGGGAAAUGUCUCCUAGUGUUUCCACUGAGCCAUGGUAGCUUGCUACUGCUCCGGAACACUUAGGCUGGCCGGCAUGUGUCCUUCUUCGUUCCCGUGUCUGUCCCUUCGGGGAAAUGUCACGCGUUGAGUACCGGAGUCCUGUUAGCCCGCUACAGCCCGGUUCACCGGAGUCCUGCUAGCCCAGUGCUACAGCCCGGAACUUACACGCUGAUGACCGACACGUUCGAUGCUGGGUCAUGGAUGCCUGUCCCUGUAAGUCUGUGCCACUUUGGGUUUACGACUAGCCAUGUCAGCCCGGGCUCCUUUUCAUAUGGAUGCUAGCGACACUAUCAUAUACGCGUGCCAAAAGGCACAAACGGUCCCGGGCUAAGGUAAGGCGACACCCGUUGGGAUACCGUGCAUGAGGCCGCAAAGUGAUAUGAUGUGUUACAGGCUAGAUCGAUGUGACAUUGAGUCGGGGUCCUGACAGUUUUGGUAUCAGAGCUUGACUGCCUGUAGGUUCUCCAAGCCAAACUGGUCGAAGUUGAGUCUAGAAAUGCUUUAGUUAUAUGUAGGGGAAUUGAUUGUGGGAUGGAACGUAAGGCUCUUUUUACUCCUUAUACCUCAUGGCCUUCUGAUCUGAGUCAUCCUCUUCUCUUCUACGGGGAUUAAGAACUAGGCCUUCUCAUCUAUCUAUCAGGAUGACGUGUUACUAAUCCAUAGACUUAUAGAAUUGUUAGUUUCAAAUCUCAGCUCAGUUUUACUACUUCCGUAUGUUAACUGUUGAUCUCAAAAACCUUGAUAUUGUGCUUCUGAGUGGCUAUGCCACCAUUUUUAUAGCAUGUCUCCAAUCUUUUGAGCAUUUACAGCCGUUAUGCUGUCCGAGUCAUCCCAGGUUCCUAAAUAGUCUGAAGCAUUUGCAAAAUCCCUUCCUCCCGUUCCGAUGUUCCUUUGGGCCAGAUUAACCACACUAAUCGGUGAGUUGAGGUAUUCUAUUGCCUCGACAUAUAUGUUGGAAUUAUUAUUAUGACCCUAGGUGUCUUAGGGGAUCAUCUAGUAAUCUAGCCAUGAUUUGUAUCCCAGUGUGAUGACUCUGGCCUUUAUUCCCGAAAGCAUCCCGUGAUGCAAUUUAGUUAGUAGGUAUUCUAUUCCUGGGUUUUUGAACCCGAGAUUCACCCUACCUACUUCAUGUUGAUAGUGUUUGCUCGUUCCUUUAGGUUAUUAGUAACCUUUGCAUUAGUCCUCGAGGUCCGUGGUAUUUCCUUCUUCCAAAUACUAUGAACCGCUUAUGGCAGAAGUUUGUUGGAUCAAAAGAUCACAACAGGAGUGCUCUUGAUGAGUUCUCCAUUUUAUAUUGCGACUCUGCCAGUUCCACCUUUCUGCAUGGGUUACCCGGAAGAAAAGUUGAGCUUCGCUCGACAUACUAAUCUAUGCAUCCACAACUCAGAAAAUUAUAUGUUCCUUUGAGUUGUCCCUCGUUAGUUGUGUUCUGACCCUCGUCUGUCAAUUGAUAGUCAAGAGUAUGUGUGCAUUCGUUCAUCGGUGCCUAUUAUUCUUGUGGUCCGUCAAGCCAUUCUAUUCCAGAAUGACUAGGAGAAACAAACUCCAGUACCUCAUCCAUAUCCAGGAUUGGGUCAAAGUAGUUGUAUCUCGCAGAUCAAAAUGUCUACCCAACUCUUGUUCUGUUCUACCCCGGAGUAUUACCAUCUUUAUAUCAAGAAUGUCAUGGGAAUUGCACACCAUCUCCCAUGAAUUCUUGACGCAGUGAUACUUCUUGCCAUCAUUUUUCAUUCUUUGGUCCCGUGUUGUUGCAACCGGAAUACCGACAAGUGAAUCGUGAUGUGUGAAAUCAAUACUGCUAGCAACUCCGUUGCUUGGUAGUUAAUGGACAAUAUUCUCAUUCUUAGCGUGUUGAUUACUGAAUCAUCACCCUAAGGUUGAUUGUGCCACCUAGUCCAUUUUCCUGGUGCACACUUCGAUUGAUGAGUUAGGAUCUUGACAAGUCCUCGCUCAUUUGAUCAUAUCAUCUUGCCUUCAAAGACAAGAUUGUUCUCGGGCUUAGUAACAUACCGGUGGUUCGUGAUUUUCUGAAUAUCUUCUCGGAAGUAUCACCAGGUCGUCACCUGACCGCUAUGUUGAGUUUGUGAUCAAGUUGGUUUAUUCCUGUAAACCACCCUUUCUCCAAGAAUCCAUGUUGGAUACCCCUGAGCUAGUUGGUUAAGCUAAACAACAACUUGGAGAGUUGGAAGAUAAAAGAUUGCCUGGCUUAGUUCCUUCUAAGGGAUAUCUUUUUGUGUGUGUUGAAGAAAGAUGAUAUCUUCAUCAAUUGAUCCUCGAGACCAGUUGUUGGAGCUAUUGUCUUGCCAAAACUUUGAUUUGAGUAUGGGUUAUCAUCAAGUCAAAUCAGAACCAACGAUGUUCGUAAUGUUGUCUUACUCGUGGAUUUUCCUCGAGCAUACACCAUUAUAUCUUUUGGGUCUGACCAAUACUAUCACCUUGUUCACAUAGUUAUGGAAUUCCAUCUCCAUGGAAACCAGGAUGAAUUGUUGUUGAGCCCAUCGACAACACCCUUGUCUUCUCCAUAGUUUUGUUGAACAUUAAGCUAGUGUUGGAAACUUCUUAAAGCAUUUAUUCAUGCUAGCUCAUGAAGCAUAUGUUCGGAUGUAAGAAGUGACUUCCUCUAGUUCAUGUACAUUUGAUGCAAGUUGCCGCCAUGAAUUCGAGAAAGUCAAUGUUGCUUCCUUUGGAAUCAUCCCAAAUCAGUCAUGCAUACGUACGAAGUAUUCUAUGGUUUGGUAGAUUAAUUACCUCCACUCCAUAUGUGUUCCUAGCACACCAAGCCACUGAUUGAUUUGUUCAAGGAGAAGAAGUUCCUUCGUAGGCUCGAGACUUACGCCAGGACUUCGAUAUCCUCGAUGAUGGUUUCCCUCCUGAACUUGCUAGUGUUUUAUUAUAAGACUACUAUGUGGUCAUGCUUGUCUGGGACAACGUGUUCACAUGUUUGUAGCAGAACCAGCUCAUGUUUUGGAGCUUGCUAUCGUAGUUCAUUUCCCGAGAAUCACGCAACAUCAUCUCGUCGGUUUGUGUUGCAAACUUUCAUUUUUCUUUCUAGACUCGAUGAGUCUAGAUUAUUCUGACACCAACCAGAUCUGAAUCUCAGGCAGAUAUGAUGGUUGGAACGUUUUCCAAGAUUUAUAAUAUUGGUCUCUCUGUAACCUGGUAAAAUGGAUGUCGUGGUCAACACACCCAACCGGAAGACCUGUUAUUGUAGUAUCUUGAUUGAGAAGUUGGCCACCUCUCCAUAAGGACUUCGUAGGAAUUAUUCCCUACUUGUGUGCCUUAUGAUUUUUGUGCUCCCGAAGUCCGACCUUUACUUGAUGUUCUAGAUACCAGACCAUUUCAAUGAAUGGGAUACGCUAGUACAUCAAGGAGAACAUUAGAAGCGGAGUGCUAAAAGUCUCUCGGUCGAUCAUCCAGAUUUUGUUCCCUUGGCCCCGCUAAGGUGAAAUCUGAGAAAAUGUUAUCUUUCUUUGCAUCUGCAUCGUCCAUCGCUGUUCAUCAUGGUAGUAUGUUGUGUUGUCAGCACCCUUGACACGGAUGUUGGUAAAACCUUGAUGAAUAUGGAAAUGCUCAAGUUCUUGAGAGCACUCACAAGCGCUAGGUGUUAUCACCAGCACUAACUGGAAUUGCUCCUAGUCUUUUCGGUUAUGCUAUAACCCUUUCAACAGUGGACUCACUCUCUACUGUUGAGCUUCUCCCUAGUUACUAAAAUCAUUCCUUAUGUUGUCUUCAACAAGGUAAUCCACAUCAUCCAACCUGGCCGAGAAUGUCAUUCCUUCGGACUCCUUCAAAUGAUCGAUUGUGAAUUGCCUUAGGCUGGUAUAAAGAGUUUCAAUGAUCUCUAAAUCAAAUAUAAUUCUUUUUGCCACUUAAGGGGAUAUAUCUUCGAGUCACCUUCCCUAAGGUGCAUCAUUAUGGUGUCAUGUCAGAAUAACUCCCCGCUACGUUGACAACCGUUCACCACCCUCUUAGGUGUGGAAUUGUUGUCUACCUAGUGAACCUUCGUCAUCUGUUCCACUCCAUUCCUCUAGACGUAUGCUUUAUAUCUCAGCUUGAGAGAUGUUUUUUGACUCAUCCCGCGAGCUGAUCCUAAGUUGUUCGAUCUUCGAGAAGAUCGAUCCUUCUAGAGUUUUCUUUCUCCUCUUGUUGUCAUGUCGAUUAGAGUUCUUAGAGCAAGACAUCAAGAUAAUGAGGGUGAUCGAAUCAACGUUCAUUUGAAGUGCAACUCGGAUUGUGAAGAUUAUAUUAGAUUGCGCUUUCCUUUCAUCUUACCCUACGCUUGAAUCUCGGGACGAGAUUCUUGUUUAGUGGGGGUGAGUUGUCACAUCCCUAGUUCUGACAAUGCCUAGUGCAUGCAUUAGAGUGUUGCAUCAUGUUUAAAUUUCAUUUAAACCUGAAAUGGGAAUGACAGAACUCCCAGCCCCCUAUGAAUCAACUAGGGUUUACUAAAAAUAUUUUCAAUGAACCUGAAAUGCCCUUCUAAAAUGUCCAUCAUUUUUGUCUUGGUUCAGAACCUCUGCCAAAAGUGAUGCACAAUUUCCUAGGUCAUCCUAAGGUCUUUGAAUUAAAUCAUAAUUAUUUGAAUUUGGGCAUUUAAAAUUAUAUAAAAUAUUUCAAAUGCUCAAAAAUCUCCAAACUGAAAUGUUUCAUGUUGGAAAUAUUCCAACAAUGGACCAGGAGUAGUUUGGUGAAUUUUAGAACCUUUUAGGUAUUUUUAAUAAUUCAACAAAGUUGCAGAAAAAUAGAAAA